GCGGGGAUGGUGGAACUGGCAGACACGUAGGAUUUAGGUUCCUAUUCGAAAGAGUGAGGGUUCAAGUCCCUUUCCCCGCA
RNAcentral lists this transfer RNA (80 nucleotides) under bacterium. RNAcentral's name for it is "tRNA-Leu". It matches the Rfam family "tRNA". Rfam says of the family: Transfer RNA (tRNA) molecules are approximately 80 nucleotides in length. The record is from RNAcentral.